This 766-nucleotide ribosomal RNA is filed under the name uncultured Bacillus sp. RNAcentral describes it as "bacterial SSU rRNA". It matches the Rfam family "Bacterial small subunit ribosomal RNA", at positions 612 to 1376 of the family's 1533-position model. Lineage: Bacteria; Bacillati; Bacillota; Bacilli; Caryophanales; Bacillaceae. The record is from RNAcentral.
AAGGUGGAGGGUCAUUGAAAACUGGGAGACUUGACUGCAAAAGAGGAAAGUGGAAUUCCAUGUGUAGCGGUGAAAUGCGUAGAGAUAUGGAGNGAACACCAGNUGGCGAAGGCGACUUUCUGGUCUGUAACUGACACUGAGGCGCNAAAGCGUGGGGAGCAAACAAGAUUAGAUACCCUGGUAGUCCACGCCGUAAACGAUGAGUGCUAAGUGUUAGAGGGUUUCCGCCCUUUAGUGCUGAAGUUAACGCAUUAAGCACUCCGCCUGGGGAGUACGGCCGCAAGGCUGAAACUCAAAGGAAUUGACGGGGGCCCGCACAAGCGGUGGAGCAUGUGGUUUAAUUCGAAGCAACGCGAAGAACCUUACCAGGUCUUGACAUCCUCUGACAACCCUAGAGAUAGGGCUUCUCCUUCGGGAGCAGAGUGACAGGUGGUGCAUGGUUGUCGUCAGCUCGUGUCGUGAGAUGUUGGGUUAAGUCCCGCAACGAGCGCAACCCUUGAUCUUAGUUGCCAUCAUUUAGUUGGGCACUCUAAGGUGACUGCCGGUGACAAACCGGAGGAAGGUGGGGAUGACGUCAAAUCAUCAUGCCCCUUAUGACCUGGGCUACACACGUGCUACAAUGGACGGUACAAAGAGCUGCAAGACCGCGAGGUGGAGCUAAUCUCAUAAAACCGUUCUCAGUUCGGAUUGUAGGCUGCAACUCGCCUACAUGAAGCUGGAAUCGCUAGUAAUCGCGGAUCAGCAUGCCGCGGUGAAUACGUUCCCG